UACGUAGGGUGCGAGCGUUAAUCGGAAUUACUGGGCGUAAAGCGUGCGCAGGCGGUUCGUCGUGUCCGAUGUGAAAGCCCCGGGCUCAACCUGGGAAUGGCAUUGGAAACUGGCGGACUCGAGUGUGGCAGAGGGGGGUGGAAUUCCCGGUGUAGCGGUGAAAUGCGCAGAUAUCGGGAGGAACACCAAUGGCGAAAGCAGCUCUCUGGGACGGUACUGACGCUGAGACGCGAAAGCGUGGGGAGCGAACAGG
Molecule: ribosomal RNA, 253 nt
Filed under: uncultured bacterium
Lineage: Bacteria
Description: partial 16S ribosomal RNA
Rfam family: Bacterial small subunit ribosomal RNA
Source: RNAcentral